RNAcentral lists this ribosomal RNA (253 nucleotides) under uncultured bacterium. RNAcentral describes it as "partial 16S ribosomal RNA". It matches the Rfam family "Bacterial small subunit ribosomal RNA", at positions 524 to 776 of the family's 1533-position model. The record is from RNAcentral.
UACGAAGGGAGCUAGCGUUGUUCGGAAUCACUGGGCGUAAAGCGCACGUAGGCGGAUUUGUCAGUCAGGGGUGAAAUCCCGGGGCUCAACCUCGGAACUGCCUUUGAUACAGCAAGUCUUGAGUUCGAGAGAGGUGGGUGGAAUUCCUAGUGUAGAGGUGAAAUUCGUAGAUAUUAGGAAGAACACCAGUGGCGAAGGCGGCUCACUGGCCCGGUACUGACGCUGAGGUGCGAAAGCGUGGGGAGCAAACAGG